AUGACGUUUAUUUUUUACUCUUAUUCUCCUUCAGGAGAAUGCUCUCUUGACAAAAUAAGAUGUCAUCCACUCUGUGUGUGUGUGUGUGUGUAUCAUUAUUCAGCUAGUUAUAAGUUUAUAUAUGAAUUGUCUAAUAACUUGUGUUUCCUGUUGUUCCAUUUCCAUGAUAUUGACCUUAAACUUUUCACUUUAUUUUUCAGAACCUCAGGGAAAAAAUGCUAAGGGUGAACAGAAUAAUGACAAGUCCCUUUAAUACUUUACACCUUGUAUUUUGUCACGUUUCUUCUGUUUCUAUACCAUUUGUCUUUGAUGCUCCGUGAUCAUCUUUCUCAACUCCAACCUACACAUAUAACGUCACAUCAUAAUUUUUUCAUUUCUUCAUUGUUAUUUUAGCUAAAAUUUAUCAUCUUCAUAUGUUAUUCAAUGCCCUAUUUUCCUUUGAUUUAUUCUAGCCUUGCUACGCAUAUAGAAAUUUCCUUUUUCUCAAAUAUAUUCUAAUGAUAACUAACUUGUAAAAU
This 518-nucleotide long non-coding RNA is filed under the name Sus scrofa (pig). RNAcentral's name for it is "lncRNA (ENSSSCG00070006778.1)". Lineage: Eukaryota; Metazoa; Chordata; Mammalia; Artiodactyla; Suidae. The record is from RNAcentral.